CAAGUCGAGCGGCAGCGCGGGGCAACCUGGCGGCGAGCGGCGAACGGGUGAGUAAUGCAUCGGAACAUGUCCAUUCGUGGGGGAUAGCCCGGCGAAAGCCGGAUUAAUACCGCAUACGCCCGAGAGGGGAAAGUGGGGGACCGCAAGGCCUCACGCGAUUGGGUUGGCCGAUGUCCGAUUAGCUAGUUGGCGGGGUAAGAGCCCACCAAGGCGAUGAUCGGUAGCUGGUCUGAGAGGAUGAUCAGCCACACUGGGACUGAGACACGGCCCAGACUCCUACGAGAGGCAGCAGUGGGGAAUUUUGGACAAUGGGGGCAACCCUGAUCCAGCCAUUCCGCGUGAGUGAAGAAGGCCUUCGGGUUGUAAAGCUCUUUUGUCCGGAACGAAAUGGGUAGCGUGAAUAUCGCUGCCUUCUGACGGUACCGGAAGAAUAAGCACCGGCUAACUACGUGCCAGCAGCCGCGGUAAUACGUAGGGUGCGAGCGUUAAUCGGAAUUACUGGGCGUAAAGCGUGCGCAGGCGGUUUUGUAAGCCAGAUGUGAAAUCCCCGGGCUUAACCUGGGAAUGGCAUUUGGGACUGCAAGGCUUGAGUGCGGCAGAGGAGACUGGAAUUCCUGGUGUAGCAGUGAAAUGCGUAGAUAUCAGGAGGAACACCGAUGGCGAAGGCAGGUCUCUGGGCUGACACUGACGCUCAUGCACGAAAGCGUGGGGAGCAAACAGGAUUAGAUACCCUGGUAGUCCACGCCCUAAACGAUGUCGACUGGUUGUUGGGGGGUUUGACACUCUCAGUAACGAAGCUAACGCGUGAAGUCGACCGCCUGGGGA
RNAcentral lists this ribosomal RNA (825 nucleotides) under uncultured beta proteobacterium. RNAcentral's name for it is "bacterial SSU rRNA". It matches the Rfam family "Bacterial small subunit ribosomal RNA", at positions 58 to 879 of the family's 1533-position model. Lineage: Bacteria; Pseudomonadati; Pseudomonadota; Betaproteobacteria. The record is from RNAcentral.